AAAUGUCAUGUUCAAAUUUUUCGACUUUUAAAAGUGGAAAACGUUAUUGAAGAAAUAUUAUAGCUUUUUAUAGAAUAUAAUGAUUCAAUGCGAUAAUUGAUAUAAAAAUUCAAAUGAUGGUGUCGGAAGAAAUAAUUCGAAAUACAGAAAAAUGUGUCUAUCCCUCACAGAACUAAAUCAUUGAAUUGGAAUAACAUUAUCGCACAGCAUCAUUGAACACCAGACCCAACUCCCAAUGAAAAUCUGAAUACGUUUAUUGAGCUAAUCAUAAGAACGCUAAUGGAACUUAUUGGCAAUGUAUGAAGUUUGAUGUUUUUGCCAUGUUUCAAUUAGGAUAUGAGCAAAUCUUGGUCGUCUACUCGCACAUCGAACAAAGGGCAUAGAUUCCUUGACUUUGGAAUUUAUGUGACUAAUUGCAAAGCAUUUGACAAAUAAGAAGUUUAACUAUAGACGCAACACAUUACCGUCAUAUUGAUCCUAUGUGGACAUUGAUAAGAAGUUCUAGGGUGCAUAUAGUAUUCAACGUGAUCAUAAUAAUAAUAAAUUACUAAUACCCAAGGCUCACCGAAAUAAUUAUGCAAAAAUGUAUCUUCAGACG
Molecule: long non-coding RNA, 598 nt
Organism: Drosophila nasuta
Lineage: Eukaryota; Metazoa; Arthropoda; Insecta; Diptera; Drosophilidae
Exons: 3
Source: RefSeq, a predicted model, not a curated record